This 3010-nucleotide long non-coding RNA is filed under the name Homo sapiens (human). RNAcentral describes it as "non-protein coding lnc-ATP11A-2:6". The record is from RNAcentral. Lineage: Eukaryota; Metazoa; Chordata; Mammalia; Primates; Hominidae.
GUUCCCGGCCCUGUCUGGUGCAUUCCCCCUGCUGCUGCCCGGUCGGCCGAGAAAGUUCCGGGCGACAGGUGGCCCGAGGCCCUCGAGCUGCGCGGACAGAGCGGCCCCGGAGUCGCGAGCGUGACGGGCUUGCUUGGAGGGCACUUGGUGGCCGGUAGCACCAUAAAGGCCAUAAUUUGGUGUGUGGGUGUGGGGGUGUGUGUGUUAACGGCAUUGGUUUGAUUCACACUUCUGAUGAAAGAAGCCUGUUUAAAAAAGAAAAGAAAAAAGAAGCCUGUUUAAAGGGUGCAGGGUGUUACGAUUGUUAACGUGCAGUGGGCAGUUCACCUGCUACGCUAUCCAACAGGCGCCCUGCUCAGGCCCGACCUCGCACUGCCGCGCGGGCCGGUCCCCCCCGGCCCGGGUAACUGGGACGUCCUGGGAAAAUAAAUUAAUCACGUACGGAGUGAGAGAACAGGAAACCUGCCGAGAAAAAGAUCGAUAAGCAGACAAUUACACCAAGCCAACUUCAGUGCAAUCGUUAAAGCUUACACAUGGGUGCACGCUUGGGAGCCGUGAGCUACCAUGUUAAAAGGCCAACUUCCUAAGGAAAAAUGAUGGAAAGAGAUCCCGAGAUCCUAUGAAAUGGAAGAGGGAGGACAACCCAGCUAUCCCAACAUCCCAGCUGAGGCCAGCCACACACGUGACUGUCUGCAAAGCCCGUCGGGCCUGGGUCCAGCUCAGGUUGCAGAAUUGUUGAUGGCUCUUACUUAAAGAUGCAGCUGGAAGAUGGAGUCUCGCUCUGUUGCCCAGGCUGGAGUGCAAUGGCGUGAACUCCACCUCCUGGGUUCACGCAAUUCUCCUGCCUCAGCCUCUUGACUAGCUGGGACUACAGGCACCCGCCACCAUGCCGGGCUAAUUUUUUGUAUUUUUAGUAGAGACGGGGUUACACUCUGUUAGCCAGAAUGGUCUCGAUCUCCUGACCUCGUGAUGUGCCCGCCUCGGCCUCCCAAAGUGCUGGGAUUACAGGCGUGAGCCACCGCGCCCGGUCCAGCCAUCUUUCUUAACGUGCAUACACGAUGUGACUCACUGGAGCCCUGAUAAGAUUAUUGAUUUCUUGAGGAGAACAAUGUUGUCGGAAACCUUCUCCAACUGUUGCUCACGGGUAUACAGUCAGGGCUGUCUUCCCAGAAUAUAAUGCAAGGAAACCUUGACCCAGUUCUCCAUGUCAUUUUCCUUUACCAGAAGGCCCUUUCGAGGUAUGGCAACUAGAUUUUUUCAGCUACCACCAUCACAAAGAUACAGGCACAUCCUAGUGAUGGUUUGUGUAUUUUCUCAUGGGUAGAAGCAUUUCCAUGCAGAAGAGCAGCAGCCUUGGCGAACCUGGACAGCUCUCAGCCGAGACCCUUCAUCUGGUGACGAAUGGACGUUGAAUAAAUACGUGAGAGACAGAGGACUGUGCUGUAUUCUCCAGGGCCCAGGAGGGCUAGUGCAGAGUGCCAUGCUUCUUUCCAGUGCUAAUUUGAAAAACCUCAGUGCACCGUGGGUCACCUGCACGGCCACCUUAGGAGUGAGUGUUGUUGUGGCACGGCCUGCACUCAGGACUGGGUUUAUCAUCAAGAACCUGGCAGGCUGCCUCUAAAGAGAGCGUCACCUGCUUAUGGGGCCCAUGUACGUCUUUCCACUGCAGCUAGACAAGUCCCGAAUUCAAAUGACGAUUACGCAUGUUAAAAGCUUGGACUAGGCCAGGUGUGGUGGCUCAUGCCUGUAAUCUCAGCACUUUGGGAGGCCAAGGCAGGCGGAUCACCUGAGGACGGGAGUUCGAGACCAGCCUGCCAACAAGGAUAAACCCCGUCUCUACUAAAAAUACAAAAUUAGCCGGUUGUGGUGGCACAUGCGUGUUAUCCCAGCUACUUGGAAGGUUGAGGCAGGAGAAUCGCUUGAACCCGGGAGGCAGAGGUUGCUGUGAGCCGAGAUUGCGCCAUUGCACUCCAGACUGGGCAAUAAGAGUGAAAUUCCGUCAAAAAAAAAAAAAAAAAGCUUGGACUAGUUAUGAAGUCAACACUUAUUUUUGCAAUGAGAAGACAUUUUCUGGCAGAGACCAGCCUAGGCAACAUAGGGAGACCCCAUCUCUACAAAAAAAAUAUGCAGACAAAAAAUUAGCCGGCCGGGCACAGUGGCUCACGCCUGUAAUCCCAGCACUUUGGGAGGCCAAGACAGGUGGAUCACCUGAGGUUAGGAGUUUGAGACCAGCCUGACCAACAUGGUGAAACCCUAUCUCUACUGAAAAUACAAAAAAAUUAGCCAGGCAUGGUGGCACAUGCCUGUAAUCCCAGCUACUUGGGAGGCUAAGGCAGGAGAAUCACUUGAAUCUGGGAGGUGGAGGUUGCAAUGAGCCGAGAUGGUGCCACUGCACUCCAGUCUGAGAGACAGAGUGAGACUCCAUCUUAAAAAAAAAAAAAAAAAGUGGACCAGGGAAGCACAAAACGUGCCAAUGUAUGAGUAUUUUAGAUAAACCCAAGCGACUCAUCUAUUAUGAAGAAUGCUGUUGAUUCGGAUUUUAUUGAUUGUAUAGUUUCGUCUUAUUUGAUUUGUUGUAAAUAUAAAGAGUUCAUACAUAAUUUCACACUUAGGUAUAGUUAAGUCAUAGCAUAAUUUUAAAAUACUUUGUUGAAAAUAUAAAGCCAUAGAAAUAUUUUUUUCAAAUGGGAUCCAUUUAUUUCUCAAGUUCAACACAAAGUAAUAAAGAUAGCUUACACAUAUGUUAAUGUUCGUUGGUUCUAAUCUAUCGGGGGGACUAACAAACUUCAAAUUUUUUAUUGUGCUGAAUGUGUUGAUACUUCGUCUCAAAGGUUCUGCCGGCUACAAAUUGAGUGAUGACUGCAGCUUAAUUUCUAGAGCUUACUCUACUCACAUAUAAUACUGAGAUAACACCAACAUCACGGGGAAUUUGUGAGCACUUGGUUUAUGAUGUGUGUGACCACACCCUGUAGACUCCUAGCAUAAUGUGAGUUAUCUGUGUAUGUGCGUG